Unclassified non-coding RNA from Bradysia coprophila, 1244 nucleotides. NCBI's taxonomy places the organism in Eukaryota, Metazoa, Arthropoda, Insecta, Diptera, Sciaridae. The record is from RefSeq and is a predicted model, not a curated record.
CACUACAGCUUGCGAGCAAGUGAGUUAAAAAACGCUAGCGGUUGAUAAAUGGUGCUCGUGCUUCGCACUCAAAGUGACAGAGGAAAAUUCAAUGUUAAACAUUUGGAUGAACGUUUUAAACACUCACUCUGGAUUCACGUAGUAAACGAGACCUGAAUUGUGAUCGCCAACGUACAGAUUCGAACAUCGAUCGAUUACCAUUCCCGACGGAUAAUUUGUGGUUGCUGUUUCACAGGGAAACUCAAAUACCGAUUUCAAAUUUUCUAAACGAAAUCACAAAAUUUAGAAUGGAAUGGAGUAGAGUAGGAAAGAAUCAAAAUUACUCAAAGAUUUAUCAUUUGGAUUCCUGCGCGUUGUGUGUACCUUAGCCGUACAAUCAUCAGCAAUGUAGCAUCUCUUUGCUGUUGCAUCGAAAACUAUUCCAUUCGAAUACGUUCGGUCCGGUGAGCGACGAGCGGUCGGUUUAUCAUUUCUCUGUCUGUCAAACAAGAAACAUUUAAUCAUUUUAGUACAGACUUUAGUCACCAGAGGACAAACGUCAAAGUUUUUUUUUCAUACGUGCACAUUAUUCUUCAAAAAUUCCUAUCAAUUAAACAAGUAAACAACAAUUCUUCGAUGGAUCGUGCGAAACCUCAAUGUUCAAAUGAAGGGUGCAAAAACGAUUUUGUAGUCGAUAUCUUUGGGUCACUCGAGGGUCACCCCGAUUGUAAGGAUUGGAUAGAGUUUUUGAAAGAUUCGUCUGUAUAUUGUUAAAUUGUUUUUAUAGAAAGAAGGUGAUGGUAAAUGGUUUUGCCUAUAUUGCAGUAUUAAAUUGAGUGACAAGUUCAAAGCACAAAGAACCCGAAAUGAAGCUGAUUCAUCUGGAAUUCAAAAUGAGUUUGCCGCACUUCAACUAAAUAAUUAGCAUCAUUCAGGUUCCUAUACAAAAGCCGAACGACGAAGACGAAGGCGAAGAAGGUCCAUUUGAAGUCGAGGAUUCUUCGUCGUCAUCAUCAUCAACAGGCACAUUAGUGACAGUGGGAUCAUUGGAAUCGGAAAAUUCAGCGCAAUCAUCGAGUUCAUCAACUCAAAAUCAAGAUAUUUGGGUACGUAAUAAUAUUGCGCCACUGAAUUUAUCAGAGCCUGACAGUUCCAACGAUGCAUGAGAAGUCGAGAAAACAACGUAAAAAAUCCAAUCAUUCCAAAUUUGCCACAUUUUUUGUAAAUAAAUAAGAGAACAAGUAUACUCUCAAUUCUGAUUUAAA